RNAcentral lists this non-coding RNA (230 nucleotides) under Candidatus Nitrotoga sp. M5. Lineage: Bacteria; Pseudomonadati; Pseudomonadota; Betaproteobacteria; Nitrosomonadales; Gallionellaceae. The record is from RNAcentral.
AUUUACCGUUCUGCUUCAGGUGUCCUAAGGGUUUCCACCCAAGGGAUUAAACGGGAAGUCGGUGCGUUCUUGACAUAGUCAGCCGAAGAACAAUUCCGGCGCUGCCCCCGCAACGGUAAGCGAGUUAUCGCGGAUCACACAGCCACUGCGUUUCGACGUGGGAAGGCGAUCCGUCAGGUCUUCAAGACCACUCGCGAGCCCGGAGACCGGCCUGAAGCCGUUGGUUGGUA